This 769-nucleotide long non-coding RNA is filed under the name Cairina moschata (Muscovy duck). Its description in RNAcentral is "domestica (muscovy Duck (domestic type)) lncRNA (ENSCMMG00000013635.1)". The record is from RNAcentral. Lineage: Eukaryota; Metazoa; Chordata; Aves; Anseriformes; Anatidae.
UUUUUCCCGUUUUCCCCCCGUUUUUGCUCACCUCUCCUCCUCUGGCAGAAGCAGACGGCCACGAGCAGCCCCAGGAGCAGCGCGGCGGCGGCGGCGACGCAACCGGCCACCAGCGGGACGGGCAGAGCCGGGGCUGUCCAAAAAACCCCCAAAACACCCCAAAAAAAAAGGAAUCGGAGCGGAGUUUGGGGAUGGAUUUGGAAAACUGGGGUCCUCCGACCGCUCCUCGAGGUGGAUUUUUGGGAAUCGAGGUUCCUCCAACUGCUCCUCAAGGUGGGUUUUUGGGGAACUGAGGUUCCUCCAAUGACUUUUUGAGGUGGAUUUUGGGGAACUGAGGUUCCUCCAGUGGCUUCUUGGGGUCAAUUUUGGGGAAAAAAGGUUCAUCCAACAAUUUCUUGAGGUUGAUUUUUGGGAACUGAGGUUCCUCCAACCCCCCCCCAAGGUGGAUUUUUGGGACCCAAGGACCCUCCAAUGACUUCUUGGGGUCAAUUUUGGGAACCGAAGUUCCUCCAAUGACUUUUUGAGGUGGAUUUUUGGGAACUGAGGUCCCUCCAAUGACUUUUUGAGGUGGAUUUUUGGGGGAACUGAGGUUCCUCCAAUGACUUUUUGAGGUGGAUUUUGGGGAACUGAUGUUCCUCCAACGACUUCUUGGGGUCAAUUUUGGGAGCUGAGGUUCCUCCAACGACUUUCUUGGGGUCAAUUUUGGGGAAAAAAGGUUCGUCCAACAAUUUCUUGAGGUUGAUUUUUGGGAACUGAGGUUCCUCCAACC